UACGGGGGGGGUAAGCGUUGUUCGGAAUUACUGGGCGUAAAGGGCUCGUAGGCGGCCAACUAAGUCGGAUGUGAAAUCCCCAGGCUUAACCUGGGAACUGCAUCCGAUACUGGAUGGCUUGAAUUCGGGAGAGGGAUGCAGAAUUCCAGGUGUAGCGGUGAAAUGCGUAGAUAUCUGGAGGAAUACCGGUGGCGAAGGCGGCAUCCUGGACCGAGAUUGACGCUGAUGAGCGAAAGCUAGGGGAGCAAACGGG
RNAcentral lists this ribosomal RNA (253 nucleotides) under uncultured bacterium. RNAcentral's name for it is "partial 16S ribosomal RNA". It matches the Rfam family "Bacterial small subunit ribosomal RNA", at positions 524 to 776 of the family's 1533-position model. The record is from RNAcentral.